RNAcentral lists this ribosomal RNA (502 nucleotides) under uncultured bacterium. Its description in RNAcentral is "bacterial SSU rRNA". It matches the Rfam family "Bacterial small subunit ribosomal RNA", at positions 11 to 507 of the family's 1533-position model. The record is from RNAcentral.
GUUUGACUCCGUGGCUCAGGACGAACGCUGGCGGCGUGCCUAACACAUGCAAGUCGAACGGAACUUCUUUAAAGGAUUUCUUCGGAAUGAAUUUGAUUAAGUUUAGUGGCGGACGGGUGAGUAACGCGUGAGUAACCUGCCUCUAAGAGGGGAAUAACAUUCUGAAAAAGAAUGCUAAUACCGCAUAAUAUAUAUUUAUCGCAUGGUAGAUAUAUCAAAGAUUUAUCGCUUAGAGAUGGACUCGCGUCCGAUUAGUUAGUUGGUGAGGUAACGGCUCACCAAGACCGCGAUCGGUAGCCGGACUGAGAGGUUGAACGGCCACAUUGGGACUGAGACACGGCCCAGACUCCUACGGGAGGCAGCAGUGGGGGAUAUUGCGCAAUGGGGAAACCCUGACGCAGCAACGCCGCGUGAAGGAUGAAGGUCUUCGGAUUGUAAACUUCUUUUAUUAAGGACGAAGAAAGUGACGGUACUUAAUGAAUAAGCUCCGGCUAACUACGUG